CCUGGCUUAGGACGAACGCUGGCGGCGUGCCUAAUACAUGCAAGUCGAACGGUCUUUCUAUGGAAGCUUGCUUCCACUGAGAAGAUAGUGGCGAACGGGUGAGUAACACGUGGGUAACCUGCCCAUAAGAGGGGGAUAACAUCCGGAAACGGGUGCUAAUACCGCAUAGUUUUCUUGAUCGCAUGAUUGAGAAAGGAAAGACGGCCUUUGUGCUGUCGCUUAUGGAUGGACCCGCGGCGUAUUAGUUAGUUGGUGAGGUAACGGCUCACCAAGACGAUGAUACGUAGCCGACCUGAGAGGGUGAUCGGCCACAUUGGGACUGAGACACGGCCCAAACUCCUACGGGAGGCAGCAGUAGGGAAUCUUCCGCAAUGGACGAAAGUCUGACGGAGCAACGCCGCGUGAGUGAAGAAAAGGUUUUCGGAUCGUAAAACUCUGUUGUCAGAGAAGAACAAGUUGGAGAGUAACUGCUCCAGCCUUGACGGUAUCUGACCAGAAAGCCACGGCUAACUACGUGCCAGCCGCUGC
RNAcentral lists this ribosomal RNA (528 nucleotides) under uncultured bacterium. RNAcentral describes it as "bacterial SSU rRNA". It matches the Rfam family "Bacterial small subunit ribosomal RNA", at positions 18 to 518 of the family's 1533-position model. The record is from RNAcentral.